This is a non-coding RNA of Peromyscus maniculatus bairdii (prairie deer mouse), 402 nucleotides long. The record is from RefSeq and is a predicted model, not a curated record. NCBI's taxonomy places the organism in Eukaryota, Metazoa, Chordata, Mammalia, Rodentia, Cricetidae.
AGAGAAGCAAGAAUGGUCAGAUGAGAUAUGGGGUCCCUGCAUCCCUUCUCUGGUGAGGACAGACAUGGGGCCUGGCACUCCGUGUGCCUGGCAUGGUGAGCCCUCUAUGGAGCUCACACUGCACACUGAAAGGAAGAGCUGGGACCCAGUCCAUCACAGAGACACUGUGCAGCCACCAGGAGUGGGAGCAGGUGAGCAGAAGCUCUGAUCCCAACCCCCUCAGCCAGGCAAGGAGAUGAGGUGAGGACACCAUGCCUUCCCCAAGCCUCCCCUUCCCUGCACCUACAUUGGGAAAGUCCAGGCCCAGCUUGAAUUUGUCAUUCAGCCACUGGCUUUGGUCAUAAUCAGGAGCUGUAGACAAGACGAUGUGAAAAGAGAUCACCCAAGUCUAAGCCUCCUGCC